Molecule: ribosomal RNA, 220 nt
Filed under: uncultured bacterium
Lineage: Bacteria
Description: partial 16S ribosomal RNA
Rfam family: Bacterial small subunit ribosomal RNA
Source: RNAcentral
GUCUCAGUUCAGAUUGCAGGCUGCAACCCGCCUGCAUGAAGUCGGAAUUGCUAGUAAUCGCGGAUCAGCAUGCCGCGGUGAAUACGUUCCCGGGCCUUGUACACACCGCCCGUCACACCAUGGAAGUCUGCAAUGCCCGAAGCCGGUGGCCUAACCACUUAUGUGGAAGGAGCCGUCUAAGGCAGGGCAGAUGACUGGGGUGAAGUCGUAACAAGGUAGC